Molecule: small nuclear RNA, 312 nt
Filed under: Octodon degus (degu)
Lineage: Eukaryota; Metazoa; Chordata; Mammalia; Rodentia; Octodontidae
Description: 7SK RNA (ENSODEG00000023420.1)
Rfam family: 7SK RNA
About the family: 7SK was discovered as an abundant small nuclear RNA in the mid-70s but a possible function has only recently been suggested. Two independent studies have found that 7SK RNA binds the CDK9/cyclin T complex (known as elongation factor P-TEFb).
Source: Rfam by way of RNAcentral
GGAUGUUAGGGCGAUCGGGCUCUGACAUCUGUCACCCCAUUGAUCACCAGCAGUGAUCUGGCUGAUCUGGCUAUUUAGGCCGGUGUCCCUUUCCUCCCUCAAUGCUCCAUGUGCAUCCCUUCAGAACCUAUGCGCUUGGUCAAAGAGGUUGACCAGCUCUGAUAGAGGAGGACCUUUCCUCAGUCAAGAGUACAUGAGUACCUCACAGACCUAGAGAAAUCAUUCCUAAAACUUAUCUGGAACCAGAAAAGACCUAGAAUAUCAAAGGCAAUCCUGGGCAAUAAAGACAAGGCAGGAGGCAUUACAAUUCCU